Long non-coding RNA from Cyprinus carpio carpio, 6069 nucleotides. The record is from Ensembl. NCBI's taxonomy places the organism in Eukaryota, Metazoa, Chordata, Actinopteri, Cypriniformes, Cyprinidae.
CCCAAGUCCUCAGCAGUCAAUGACACUGACCCGUUCAAACUGCUUCUUAACGCGUACUUCACGCGUAUUUAGCAGGACUUCACGUGUAUUUAACAGGUUAAAUACACGUAUUUAACGCGCUGAUUUUUCAGGCGUAAACGACACGUAUUUAAUGCGUUAAAUACGUGUUUACGCGUGAAAUACGCAUAUUUAACGUGUUGUUUACACAUUAAAAUUCGCGUGUUUUAGACCCUCUGGGCCUUCCAUACUUGGACGUUGAUAUGAGGUUCAAAAUUUGACCGUCCGGCUACAACGUGCAGAACAGGUUCAGGAAAUCGACAUAACUUUUUUUUUUAUAUAUAUAUAUAUACAUAUAAACACAACAAAGCAAUCCUUUGAUUUCCGAUUUAAAUAUCGCAUGUACCCUAUAAUCUUAAGAAACUUUUGGGUGUUAAAAUGAUGUAAUAUAUAAAUGUUUAAAAACAUUAAACAUUUAUAAUUACAUAAUGUGACCAUAUAAAAUCUUACAUGGAUUUAUUUAUGGUAUGGUUUGUGGUAUUUUUCACUGGAGCAUUGACAGAAACAGCAGUUUACAUCUGUAUUAGAUCUAUAAAUUAAAUAUAGUUAAUUAAAGUUAAAUAUAUUAAAGUUUAAUAAAUUUAAAUAGAUAAUUAGAUUAAAAUAUUUCCUUUUCAAUAAUAAAUAUUUAACACAUAGAUUUAAAUUGGAUGAAAUAGUGCAUUUAAACGUGCGCUCGCCACUAGGGGCGUUAACGUGAUGUUACGUGAGUGACGUAAACGUGAGGGCAAAAAAAAAAAAACGUAAACGUGAUGGCCUAUGGUGAUGGCGCAAACAAUCACGAAGACGGAAGAAUAAUUCUGUUUAUUACAAAAGACUGAAGAUAUAACUACAGCUAUUCUUUAAUUUAUUUAUUUCUACGUUGAGGACACUUUAUAAACCUACAGAGAUACCUGACCAACGAACGACCUUCACAACGGGACAGAGCUAACAUAACGUUAACGGUUACUUGGAAAUUCAAACAGUAACGGAUCUGACAACUGUGCUGAGCCAAAGUUGGUGAAGAUGGAGAUGUUGUGACGACCAGGACAGUUCCUCCUAGCACACCAGACUCUGCUGUAUGUGGACGCCUGUCCACUAGCACUGGACAUUUACAACAUUUGGUGCCAGGGACCUCUUGCAGAGAAGAUUUUUCAAGGACACCCUCAGAAUUACAACAGAUUUUAAGGCUUGAAAUUAUUGUGGGUGGGAGUAUAAUGAACAUAAUAUGAUUGUUUUAUUUAUUCAUUUAUUUUUUUAAAUGGUCCCCAUUUUUUUUAAUAAUACAUUUGUUUAAUGCACAAUAUAGGGCUAAGUUGCACCAGGUCAGGAAAAAACACAUAAGUUGCAUCUGUGUAUAAGACACAUUUUUCUAUUAAUUUCAGAAAUAAAUUAAAUACUGAUAAAUAAAACAAACGUUAAGAAACUUAAAAACUAUAAACACUGUAAAGAUUUUAUUUUCGCUCACUUCAAAUCAUUUAAAUUUAACGCUAUUCAAAACAGAACAAAAAUAAAAAAUAUUUAGGCCUAUGUAUAAAAUAAACAAAUUCUAGAGCCAUUAUUUACAAGCAGUAUUUCUUUUGUUAAAUAAAGAAAACAAACAAAAUGCACUUGCUAUCUCAGUUUCUGUGAACCUCAUGCUGAAAAUUUAGAAAACACAGUGGUACAGACAAUACCACUGUGUACAGACAGACUUGUCACACAGACAUGAGAACUAUAGAAACCUGUAAGUGCCUGCUUUUAAGUGUUUACGGUUUGCUUAGGCUUUUUGACAUUACAACCAUUAUAUAAAAGUUACUUUGGAAUAAUUCAGCACAUCUCAGAAGAUUAAAAAAUAUGACUUGUAGUCUGGAAAAUAUGGUAUAAAUUAUUUUGUGGACCCCUUUGCUUUGGUCCUGAACCCCAGAUUGAAAACCCUUGCAUUGUAGCAUAUUGUGUGUUUUUUUUCAUUAUUAUUAUUGUGCAUGCAGAUAAUAUUCGGGCACAUGAACACCUGACUAUUGCAUGAAUGAAGAAUACCAUCUUUAAGAAUUUUAUGCUAAUUGCAGUUGAAAUAAAAAUGAAAAAGCUUUAAAAGUUCAGCUCCAGCAGGUAAACAUAAUGUGUGGACCCAACUAAACUAAAUUGUUUGUUGUUAAUUGUUAUCCACUGUGUAAUGACUGAAAAUUAUUUUAUUUUCAUGUUUUUUGUGUGAACACACUGUUUCUUUAAGUUUAUUUACAAGUACAAAAAGAAAUUGCAUUGAAAUAAACAUGAGAUUUAAUUGAAUGCAGCCUAUAUGUCAUAAGGUCCUGGAACUGCAGUUGUUGCUAACGGCGCGAUAUGAGAAACACCUCCACAUGUGCCCAGCGGAGAUGUUGUGCGUUUAUGCAAAAUAUGUGAGCUGAAUUCCUUCCAAACGCCGUAGAAGGCCACUGCCUGCAUUACCCGCCGGGUGUUCUCCCCAGGGUUUGGACCUCCAACGAGGCUUAAAUGAUGUGUCUGCAAGAUGGAAUACAUUUUCUAAAUAGGAGAGGAGUUCAUUGAUGGUGCCACACACUUCAAGGCUCAUCUCCUCUGCUUGCUGGCAAGUCCCAUCACCCAGGGCACGAGCAUAAAGUUCAUGCAUGGCUGCUAUUGUGCUCCUCAUUGCCUUCAUCUCACUCUCUAUGCUUACUAUUUUUUGAAUGAGGAGGCUAAGGAGGUGAUCUGAGGAGAAUCAAUAUUGAUUCGUUAAAAUUAAGGACCUGGUUUAACCAGCAGUGGAGAGAGUCAUGAAGGAGAAUCACCAAAUAACACUGACAGCGAAGGGUGUCUCUGGGUGGAGUUGGCCUUAUUGGCACAUCAGGCAUGGGAAGCUCUCCACAUCUUGAUGGCAUCUUUAUUGAUUGAUUGAAGGUGGUUUGCUUGUUAGGUUCAUACCUUCAUAAGAGCUGCUGAGACACACCGGUCGUCUUUUCCUUUUGGGGGUGUCAUCACAGCUCUCAAGUGAAGAUUGCACAGCUGCUUUUUUCGACCACUUUUUUGCUCUUUCAUAGUCAUCUUAAGCAAAAAUAUGCCUCCUAGCAACCUGAAUCAGUGGGUUUCUACCAGAACGCACCAUCCUCUUGAGUGUUUGCAGGUAGUUUUCAAACAUGAAGGCACUACAAUUUUCCAGACCACCGAAGUUUUCGGCAUCUUUUGCUAUGUGCAGCAUGGCAUGUGUGUUGUAAACAAGGAACUCUUGUCCAUAAAGAAUCCGACCUUUUCCACAAAAUAAUGCAGCAGUUCAUCUGCAUAUUUCGAGUGUUCCUGCACAAGACUUGGACAUACCAAGAUUAUCAUGGCCACGCUAAAGGAAAGGAAGUGCAAAUACAUUUCAUCAGGCAGUAUUCCCUUCAACACAAUCUUCCCAGUGUAAAGAAGGAACUGACGAAACUCAGUCGCUUUCCACCUGUCCAGUUCCUCAAGACCUCUAGGCUUUCGCACAAAAGUAGAUGGGAUGCAUUUCCGAAGAGACCGCAGUCUUGCACUAAUCUCUGUGAUUUGGCUGGCUGAAACACUCACAACUCUGUCUCCUCUGGUCCAGAUGUGCAGGAGUCUUUUCAUUACACCUAGACAAGCCUGGUGCAUGUAAUCAAUGGGAAAACUCUGCACCAUGUCUAUGGGGAGGUGAGACAGAGUGAAUCCCAUGAUUCAUCAGAUGAGCCAGUUCCCUUACUGUGUCUUCCAAAAAGCCAAGAUCUGUUGGUCGACUUAGACUGCUUGUCAGAGCCGUGGGGAAAAUGGUGACAGGGUCUAACAUGACUGCACAAAGAACUGGCCACAUACAUGUUUUGGAACUCUUGUACAGUGGUCAGAAGCCGAGGAUUCAUUCAAACUGUUAAUACCUUCCCAUGUCACUGCUCUUGACUGUUCUUCCACAUUUGCAGAAUACAAAUAGUGUUCAUUGUCAGAUGAACACUCUCCACAAAUCAUCUCCAUGUCAACAUCUUUUUGUGAUUGUUCUUCAAGUGGAAGAUCAAGUGAUUGUACUUCAGCUGGUGGAUUACUCUCCUUGUGGCAGUACCAACGAUGUUUCGUCCAGCAUUAAAUUACUGCAGAAGAAGAAUACCGCCAACGUGACGCGGAUAUUAUAUCUUAAUGGAGGAAUAAACCUGAAACAGCACUUCCAAGAACUUCUUGAUUGUCGUUUAUGGAUUCCUCAUGAAAUUUGGGAUUGUCGGUUUGGAUGGACCAGGAGUUGGUGUCACUGGAAAAACUCUCAUGGUGGCCCGCUGAUGACUGAGGAUAGAUGUGCCUUGCUGCUUUUCGAAAAGGACUUCUGUCCUGAUGUUUGGCUGUGGUCCCCCCAUCAUCCACUCUUUGGCAACAAGUCUUUGUAUGCAGACCACCAUGAUCUAAUCUAUACAGACCUAGUUGUCUCUUCUCCCACAAACUCCACUUUCAGGAGUACCUUUUACAAAGGUGUCACCAUGAGCUCCCGACCUCCUGACCUCUCCGUGGCUGAGCUGUAUUAGGACUUUGUCAGAACUACAUCUUUUUUGGUCACCACAAUCUGGAUGUGUUCAGUGAGGAUUCAUCGGUGGAUUUCACCUUUGGAAAAGUUUAGGCUGGGAGUGUGUUGUCAUACCAGCAGAAACAAGCUGCAUCAUUACUCACAUCAAGAUGUCCCAUCACCACCACAUCUACCACUUAUUGGUUACAGCCUUGGCACAUCUGUCUGCUUGUUUGUCCAUAGUGAACAUAGUUUUUUAUUUGUAUGUAACCAACACACUUGUACAGGAAAUCUUUAACACCUAAUUAAAGUACUUAUACAUGUUUACACGUUUACAUUAUUAUAGUGCAGGUAACAAAAUAAUUAAAUUUACAUUAUCUACAUUUAUAAAUAAAUGUAUCCAUUUACAAUUUCUAUACUAAAUAUUAUUUUAAUUAAUAUAUUCAGGUGUUCUGUUGUAUUUUUGUAAAGAUUGUGAGUAGCCAAGGGUAUAAAGGGAAUAAAAAAGUGGCGGGACUGUACAAAUCCCAGUAAUCCCAAUCCCAAAUUAAAUGAUUUGUUUCUAUUUCUGGCAUAGUCCAAUUUUUAGUAUAGUUCCAUAGUCCCAUAGGCAUAGUCCCAUAUUUCAAUUUAAAAUAACUGUUUUCUAUGUGAAUAUAUUUUAAAUAUUAUAGCAGUCUAAUAAUAAAAUAAAAGUAGUCUUAAUAAUAAAAAUCAGAAACACUUAUAAUAAAAACGGGAGAGAGAGAGUUAUCUGAGACCAGGGGACCACGUCGCUACAACGUUCCCCAUGGGACCAACUAGCGACGUCUGUUGAGGACAUGCCCACAACGUUUCUGGGACGUUUGCAAACAUUCUAAAAAAAAAAAGUUUAUUUCUUAUAUGGGUAGAUAGAUGUUUGAGUAUUUCGUUACGGGUUUAAAAUGACAAUAGUAUUUAUAAUGUUUACAGUAUACAUUUUGUCAUUUGGAUGUUAUCUUUGUUAUCACUGAUGGACACUUUAGCUAAAGGUAACUUUACCCUUAAAAUUUGCUUUUCACUAAUUCUAUAGUGACUGCAGAAAAAUAGAUAAACAUACAUCCAUAAAUAGCUGUACUAAAGACCAGGGGACCACGUCGCUACAACGUCCUCCAUGGAACUAACUAGCGACGUCUUUUGAGGACGUGCCCACGACGUUUCUGAGACGUUAGCCAAGAUUCUAAAAAAUGGAACUUUACCUCGACGUCCUCACAACGUCGCCAUAAAGUAAUGUCGCGCUAACCAAAUGACGACGAACUGGCGACGUCCUCACAACGUUCUGUGUUUGCUGGGAAGUGCGCUGCGCGCAUAUCAGAAACCAUCUUAACUUGCGUAUUUGCAACUUGCGUAUUUGCCUAAAUGAAUUCUGCCCCACUGCUUAAUGUCUCUGAUCAGUUAAAUUAGUUUUUAAACCACAAUGCUUAAAAUGCGUUUAAAUUAAAAGCUUAUAUCCAUGACGUGCUUAUAUCAUUUACAGCGAUAUCGUUGACUUGAUUGAAAAUUAUUGCAGAGAUACUAUUUAAACUGAACUGAGCUGCAUGAUGACAUCACUGAAUUCA